ACUUCAGCUAUGCAAUGCAGAAGAGGUUUCCAUCAAUCCUUGAAGCGUAUUACAAAUCCAAUGAGUGGUCUGGCAUUCAUGGCAUAAGGGAGAAGGACCAAAUGACAUGGUUAAGCAGCAAGAACUGAACCCUCUGUGCCUGAACUGUUUCUUCUUCUUGAUGAUGCUUUUCACAUCUCUGUUGUGAAGCCAUUUGUCACGUUCUAUUUCCCACUGGAUCUGUUUGGCAUCUGUAAGAGGAGAGGUGAGACCUGAGGAGCUGACAGAUACCUCUGACCGUGAUGUGGAACACAGAUGAAUCAUGUAAAAGUUAAAACCUGGCUGUUGUAUUUAUAAACGUUAAUAAAACGC
This is a long non-coding RNA of Colius striatus (speckled mousebird), 351 nucleotides long. RefSeq lists it as uncharacterized. The record is from RefSeq and is a predicted model, not a curated record. The transcript has 3 exons. Lineage: Eukaryota; Metazoa; Chordata; Aves; Coliiformes; Coliidae.